RNAcentral lists this ribosomal RNA (350 nucleotides) under uncultured bacterium. RNAcentral describes it as "partial 16S ribosomal RNA". It matches the Rfam family "Bacterial small subunit ribosomal RNA", at positions 338 to 705 of the family's 1533-position model. The record is from RNAcentral.
GCUACGGGAGGCAGCAGUGGGGGAUAUUGCACAAUGGGGGAAACCCUGAUGCAGCGACGCCGCGUGAGUGAAGAAGGAUUUCGGGAUGUAAAGCUCUAGCAGCAGGGAAGAAAAUGACAGUACAUGACCAAGAAGCCCCGGCUAACGACGUGCCAGCAGCCGCGGUAAGACGGCGGGGACACGCCUUAGCCGUAUUUAAUGGGUGGAAAGGGAGCGUAGACGUUUAUGUAAGUCUGGAGUGACAGCCAGGGGCCAAACACCGGGACUGUUUUUGACACUGUGUAACUGGAGUACAGGCGGGGCAGGCUGCAUUCCCUGUGUAGCGGUGCUAUGCGUAGAUAUCCGGAGGA